CCUACGGGUGGCAGCAGUGAGGAAUAUUGGUCAAUGGGCUUACGCCUGAUCCAGCGAAGUCGCGUGAGGGAAGACUGCCCUAGGGGUUGUAAACCUCUUUUGUCAGGGAGCAAUUGGCGCUACGUGUAGCGUUAUCGAGAGUACCUGAAGAAAACGCAUCGGCUGACUCGGUGCCGGCAGCCGCGGUAAUCCGGAGGAUGCGGGCGUUAUCCGGGUUUAUUGGGUUAAAAGGGUGCGUAGGCGGAAUGCCAAGUCAGAGGUAAAAUCGCGGGGCCCACCCUCGCUCCGCCGUUGAAACUGGCGUGCUGGAGUGGGCGAGAGGUAUGCGGAAUGCGUGGUGUAGCGGUGAAAUGCAUAGAUAUCACGAAGAACUCCGAUUGCGAAGGCAGCAUACCGGCGCCCAACUGACGCUGAAGCACGAAAGCGUGGGUAUCGAACAGGAUUAGAUACCCUAGUAGUC
This 460-nucleotide ribosomal RNA is filed under the name uncultured bacterium. Its description in RNAcentral is "partial 16S ribosomal RNA". It matches the Rfam family "Bacterial small subunit ribosomal RNA", at positions 338 to 795 of the family's 1533-position model. The record is from RNAcentral.